UUUCUUAUUUUUAUCGUUGUUAUUCUCGUGUUCUGAUUGCUUGACGUGUGGUAAUUAACAGAUAUCCGGGUCCUCUGGGAAACUAGGGUUUUCUUAGUUUCCUUAUUUAAACGGAAAUCGACAGUGCGAAUUUCGGUUCCCACAAUAAUUGAUUGUGGUGUAGUGCUAGAAACAAUUUUUAACAUGGUGAGUGGCAGUGGAUUUGAUCCUUACAUGUUACAUUUAAACACAAAAUAUAUUUAUAAGUUUUUGGGUUUUGGGCGUUAAACAUGAUGGACUAGGCCUGUAUAUAUGUGUGUAUAUUAUAUACACAUUAAAAUUUAUAGUCUAUAUUUUUUAUGAUCUACCUUGUGAUUAAAAAAACAAUAUAUGUAUAUAUAAAUAUAAAUAUAAAUUUUAAUUAAUUUUGUUAUAAUUUAGGGGUUAUAUGAUGAGUAGCUCAAUAUGUAUAGUUUUUCAAAAAAGGUUAUUUGUUCAUACAUGUAGUAGCUAUAUUAUUAAAACUAAAGUACAUUUGAGAAUUGUUUGGAAACAUAAAUAGUAAUAUAAAAAAGAGUAUAAUGUUUGGAAACAUGGAUAACAAUACAAAAAGUAGUGUCUUUUUAAAUAAAAUUAACCUUAUUUUUAACAGAUUUAUUAUAUUUUUUUUCUUUAUUUUCAUUCAUCUUAACUACUUUAUUAACUAUUUUAGUUUAGCAAUACAUCAAAUCAUAUAACUAUUUUAUUAAAUAUUUUUUUUCUAUUUCAUUUAAUUUAUCCAAACAUAUAAUUAAUUGUAUUCAAAAGAUCGGGUAAUAUACUUAUUUUGGAUACUCUCAGGUUUAGAUGGUUCGAUUCAAAUAACCACUGUAUCUGAAAUGGGUUUGGAAUAUUUGUAUCACAAAAACUAUAUUAUCCGAUAUUUUGAAUACAAUUAAUUAUAUGACAACACAUCUAAAAUAUAUAACACUAAUCAUAAAAAAAAAAAAUAUUAAUUUACAAAAAUAAAAUAACGAAUACCUGCGUGCGCGUGGAUCAAGCUCUACUCCACCUUUAAUUUCACAAUAGUCAAUUAUAUAUGUAAUCUCAAUGAAUCAAAAUUAUUCAGUAACUUCCUCAUUGAUAUUUUAUUUAGAUUUACUUAUAAUAUUUAUUUAUAUUAUUUUAAAAAUAAAAUUAUCUUAAGUAUAUCAAAAAUGUGUUUGUUUAUUUAUAAAAAUUAAGUUUAAAUUAAUAUUUUUGCAACAAAUUAUAUUGGAUAGCUAUUACCAUUAGCGUCAAGCUCCUCAUCUCCUCUGAUCGCCAACUGUUAAUGGCUAGGAGUUAUCCUCUUCACUUUCAGAUCUUUGCUUGUGAUCCCAAUGUUCGAACUACUUGGAAUGCAUAUUGCUAACUUAAAUUUAUUCUUAAAUGGACUAGACAGGGGCGGAUCCAAGAUGGUUUUUUGUAUGGGGCACUUAACCAUUUCUAUAACUAAAAGCUUAAUAUAAGUGUACUUAAUUAAAUUUAACACUAGAUGUCAAUGAACAAACACUAGUAGAAAAUUGUGAUAUAGACACGGUCUAGUCACGAUAGGAUCGUGUCUUUUUUCUACUUAGUCACAGAAUAGUCAUAGUUAGUCACAAAAACUGUAAACGUGACAAAUCGUGUCAAUUUCGUGGCUAAUAAGAUACGUUUUUGUCAAGUUAGUUUAUUGUGACUAAAAAUAGUCACGUUUUGUGAGGACUAUAAUUAAAAAAUGGGUAUAGCUGUGAUUUUAGUCACUAAAUAGACACAAACUGAAACGUGACCAGGUUGAUGUUAAAUGAAACCCUAAACCCUAAAUACAAAUUAUAAACUAUAACCCUAAUUAUAAGAAAUCUAACUAGUGAGAAAGAAACAAAAAAAAGAAAUCAAACUAUUAUGACAUAACCAAAAACUAAAAUCUAACUCUUUUAAAAGUUGCAAAUAUAAAUUUUCAACUUAUAACCCCCAUUUCAAAAAAAAACUUUAUACUUAACCCCAAACCCUCCAAACCUCAAAUCUUAAAUCACAAAGUUUAAAUAUUAAAGUUUAAACAAUUUAAGAUUAACAUCAAUAUAUAAUCAUGAUUAUAUAUACAAAUAUUUAGAAUCAUAUCCAUUGAAACAUUUUUUUGAAACUUUAGCCAAAUCCACAUCAUGACUAAAUUCUAAAACUCAAACCCUAUUUUCAAAACUCAAACCCUAGCUUAUAAACAUAAUCCUUAAACCUUAAAUUUUGUAGUAUUUAAAUUCUCUAAUAAAUAUAAAACAAAUCCAAUCAAUAAAUUCUUUUAUUUAGAUAUUUAUAGUUUUACAAAUACAACUAAUAGGAAAGUAUUACUUGUUCUCUCAAAGAAAAAAAGUAUUACUCUUUCUUUUAUUUCUUUCUUCUUUUCAAUCCAUUGCUCGAGAAUCAAACACGUCACAUGUUUAAAGUGUUUACUCUUUCUUUUCUUUCUUUCAUUUCAAUGCCCUUCUUAUUUCUUAUUGGUCAAUCCAUUAGGUGAUGGAUUGCCAUCCUAACCAUUGAUUGAAAUAAUCUAACGGUCCAGAUAUCUUUAAUUGUGUUUCUUCCUGUCUUCUCACGUGUGUUCUUUCUUCUUCCCAUGUCUCUCUCUCUCCCUCUCGGGUCAUUUGCUUGUCUGUUUUUUGGUUCUUUCAACUUCUAAUAACUAAUUCAAUAAUCAAUAACCCCUCUAUGUAUUUCUUCCUCAUUGUAUUUUACUGAGUUUGAAUCAGUUUUUGUGCAGGACGUGGUGAUGCCGGAAGAGCUUGCGAAGGUCAUUGACACGGCCAUCGGAACACGCCAUCGAAGCUUGCGGGGGAGGAGGUAGCUCGAAGACGGAGGAGGCAAGCGUGUUCUCCUCAGAUACAACAGCGUCGGCAUUAACUCCAUUACGAAGAGGAAGGAGGAAGAAGAAGAGAAAGAAGAAAAGAAAGAGGAAGAAGAAGAAGAAGAAGAGAAAGAGAAAGAAGAAGAGGAAGAUGCCGCCGGAGACGGUCACCUGUGGUGGCCGGGAAGUGUAGAUUUAGAGAUGUAUUUUUAUAUUUAUAUAAUACAUGUAUAUUCACAUAAGUAUAUAUACAUGUAUUUAUACUUUGUAUUUCAUUUUAUAAUUAACUAAUUAAAAAUUUAUAUAAUUUUUUUUUUAAUU
This is a long non-coding RNA of Brassica rapa (field mustard), 3136 nucleotides long. RefSeq lists it as uncharacterized. NCBI's taxonomy places the organism in Eukaryota, Viridiplantae, Streptophyta, Magnoliopsida, Brassicales, Brassicaceae. The record is from RefSeq and is a predicted model, not a curated record.